AGCAACUGUUGCAGCUAAUGGCAAAGCUAAUAUUAUUUGCGAAAAUGAAAAACCAGAUGAACUUGAAGUUGUAAAAGAAGGUGCUGACCUUGUCAAAUGUCUACCUUUGAUAAAAAAUCGGAGAUUUAGGAAGAGGAAGACUCAUCUCUCUAGAUUGCAUUCUCACCGGCUUAAGGAAACAACUAAAGAAUCAUAUUUGUCUGCUAAUGGCAAAGCUAAUAUUAUUUGCGAAAAUGAAAAACCAGAUGAACUUGAAGUUGUAAAAGAAGGUGCCGACCUUGUCAAAUGUCUACCUUUGAUAAAAAACCGGAGAUUUAGGAAGAGGAAGACUCAUCUCUCUAGAUUGCAUUCUGACCAGCUUAAGGAAACAACUAAAGAAUCAUAUUUGUCUGC
Molecule: long non-coding RNA, 393 nt
Filed under: Lathyrus oleraceus (garden pea)
Lineage: Eukaryota; Viridiplantae; Streptophyta; Magnoliopsida; Fabales; Fabaceae
Description: Pisum sativum (pea) long non-coding RNA (PSAT_LNC029383)
Source: RNAcentral